GUGGCGGGCAAACAAAUCACUCAUUCCCCCCCAAAUCGAUCCACCAGCCCUACCCCAACCCAAGAUGCCGCCAAAUUGAUUCGACUCAGCCACAGCCGCUCGCUCGCCACCACGAUCUGCAGCGUUUGGAGUCAUCUCACAGAUCCUCAACUGCUUGCUCGAUGCACCACGUCCACUGCACCAGGGCUGAGAGAGGGGAUGUCGAGAUUAUGAGAGGGCAGUGCUGAUAUGGUGGCCUGAGUGGGUCUCGGUUUGACUCUGUGGUUAAUUGUUUUUUGGGGCAGAUUGAUUCAACCCGACCAGAGGCUCGCUCGCCGCCACGACUUGCAGCCUUCGGAGUCAACUUACCUCCUCAGCCGCUCGCGCGCCGCACCUCGUCCGCUGCACCAGGUAGAUAAUCUUCGGAAGCAUGUUCAUGCGUCUAGACUUAUCAAAAAUAUCGAAUUGGUGGUCGUUUCACCUUUGCUCAGGACUAUGCAAACAGCAGUUGGUGCUUUUGGAGGUGAAGCUACUGCUGUUGGGAUUGAUGUGCCUCCACUGAUGGCAGAAAAUAUGGGCAACAGUAAUCGUCCUGCAAUUUCAAGCCUAAAUUGUCCUCCCUUCAUUGCUGUGGAGCUUUGUCGAGAGGAUAUGGGCAUUCAUCCUUGUGAUCGGAGGAGAAGUAUAAGUGAAUACAAAUCCAUGUUCCCAGCAAUUGAUUUUUCUUUGAAUAUGAAGAGAGGCCAGAAACUACCAUCUUCCGACAAGUUAAGUUGCGGCAGGUGCUUUUCGAUACAUAACAGGUCCGUGAAUCAAAUUGUAGUUUAGCUCAUACAAGGUCAAACUACAAAUGUUUGUCAUCCCCGCCACAACACGCGAGUUGAAAGCACUAGUUACUACUGUUUUAAUAUGGUGAUAUAAACAAACUGCUAUGUAAUUUUUGGUUGUUUAAAUGUGAAUUACUGUUUAAUUCUUUGUAUACUUAUACUUGUGAA
Helianthus annuus (common sunflower) is the source of this 974-nucleotide RNA transcript. It is a transcript of the gene named phosphoglycerate mutase-like protein, with no coding region annotated. The transcript is spliced from 7 exons. NCBI's taxonomy places the organism in Eukaryota, Viridiplantae, Streptophyta, Magnoliopsida, Asterales, Asteraceae. The record is from RefSeq and is a predicted model, not a curated record.